Non-coding RNA from Mesocricetus auratus (golden hamster), 72 nucleotides. NCBI's taxonomy places the organism in Eukaryota, Metazoa, Chordata, Mammalia, Rodentia, Cricetidae. The record is from Rfam.
CCCUGGCUAGCUCAGUGGUAGAGCGUGAGACUCUUAAUCUCAGGGUCGUGGGUUCGAGUUCUACGUUGGGAG